This 571-nucleotide ribosomal RNA is filed under the name Planiliza macrolepis (largescale mullet). Its description in RNAcentral is "partial 16S ribosomal RNA". It matches the Rfam family "Bacterial large subunit ribosomal RNA", at positions 1820 to 2597 of the family's 2925-position model. Lineage: Eukaryota; Metazoa; Chordata; Actinopteri; Mugiliformes; Mugilidae. The record is from RNAcentral.
CUCUUGCUAACUACACAUAAGAGGUCCUGCCUGCCCUGUGACCCCUGGUUCAACGGCCGCGGUAUUUUGACCGUGCAAAGGUAGCGCAAUCACUUGUCUCUUAAAUGAGGACCUGUAUGAAUGGCACAACGAGGGCUUAACUGUCUCCUUUCCCCGGUCAAUGAAAUUGAUCUUCCCGUGCAGAAGCGGGAAUCCUAACAUAAGACGAGAAGACCCUAUGGAGCUUUAGACGUCAGAACAGACCAUGUAAGCUACCUCCAUGAAAUAGGUAAUAACUAUUGAAUCUCUGUUCCCCUGUCUUCGGUUGGGGCGACUACGGGGAAUAAAAAAACCCCCACGUGGACCAGGAGCACAUUACUCCUACAACCAUGAGCCACAGCUCUAAUGCACAAAACAUUUGACCAUUAGAUCCGGCAAAGCCGAUCAACGGACCAAGUUACCCUAGGGAUAACAGCGCAAUCCCCUUUAAGAGUUCAUAUCGACAAGGGGGUUUACGACCUCGAUGUUGGAUCAAGACAUCCUAAUGGUGCAGCCGCUAUUAAGGGUUCGUUUGUUCAACGAUUAAAGUCUU